This 861-nucleotide ribosomal RNA is filed under the name uncultured bacterium. Its description in RNAcentral is "bacterial SSU rRNA". It matches the Rfam family "Bacterial small subunit ribosomal RNA", at positions 8 to 916 of the family's 1533-position model. The record is from RNAcentral.
AGAGUUUGAUCCUGGCUCAGAGCGAACGCUGGCGGCAGGCCUAACACAUGCAAGUCGAACGGACCCUUCGGGGUUAGUGGCGGACGGGUGAGUAACACGUGGGAACGUGCCUUUAGGUUCGGAAUAGCUCCUGGAAACGGGUGGUAAUGCCGAAUGUGCCCUUCGGGGGAAAGAUUUAUCGCCUUUAGAGCGGCCCGCGUCUGAUUAGCUAGUUGGUGAGGUAAUGGCUCACCAAGGCGACGAUCAGUAGCUGGUCUGAGAGGAUGACCAGCCACAUUGGGACUGAGACACGGCCCAAACUCCUACGGGAGGCAGCAGUGGGGAAUCUUGCGCAAUGGGCGAAAGCCUGACGCAGCCAUGCCGCGUGAAUGAUGAAGGUCUUAGGAUUGUAAAAUUCUUUCACCGGGGACGAUAAUGACGGUACCCGGAGAAGAAGCCCCGGCUAACUUCGUGCCAGCAGCCGCGGUAAUACGAAGGGGGCUAGCGUUGCUCGGAAUUACUGGGCGUAAAGGGCGCGUAGGCGGAUCGUUAAGUCAGAGGUGAAAUCCCGGAGCUCAACUUCGGAACUGCCUUUGAUACUGGCGAUCUUGAGUGUGAGAGAGGUAUGUGGAACUCCGAGUGUAGAGGUGAAAUUCGUAGAUAUUCGGAAGAACACCAGUGGCGAAGGCGACAUACUGGCUCAUUACUGACGCUGAGGCGCGAAAGCGUGGGGAGCAAACAGGAUUAGAUACCCUGGUAGUCCACGCCGUAAACGAUGAUUGCUAGUUGUCGGGCUGCAUGCAGUUCGGUGACGCAGCUAACGCAUUAAGCAAUCCGCCUGGGGAGUACGGUCGCAAGAUUAAAACUCAAAGGAAUUGACGG